RNAcentral lists this ribosomal RNA (253 nucleotides) under uncultured bacterium. RNAcentral describes it as "partial 16S ribosomal RNA". It matches the Rfam family "Bacterial small subunit ribosomal RNA", at positions 524 to 776 of the family's 1533-position model. The record is from RNAcentral.
UACGUAGGGGGCUAGCGUUGUCCGGAAUCAUUGGGCGUAAAGAGCGUGUAGGCGGUCCGGUAAGUCCGCUGUGAAAGUCGCGGGCUCAACCCUCGAAUGCCGGUGGAUACUGUCGGGCUAGAGUGCGGAAGAGGCGAGUGGAAUUCCUGGUGUAGCGGUGAAAUGCGCAGAUAUCAGGAGGAACACCUAUUGCGAAGGCAGCUCGCUGGGACGUAACUGACGCUGAGACGCGAAAGCGUGGGGAGCGAACAGG